This 2809-nucleotide long non-coding RNA is filed under the name Pongo abelii (Sumatran orangutan). RNAcentral describes it as "lncRNA (ENSPPYG00000029973.1)". Lineage: Eukaryota; Metazoa; Chordata; Mammalia; Primates; Hominidae. The record is from RNAcentral.
UUUCUUUUACUUUCUUCCAUUAUUUCUUAAAUUGAUGUGGUUUUAUAUAACUGAACAGAGUACUAUUACAGUACCGUAGAAGGUGGAUUAACUGAAGCAGCUGGAAAGACUGUCAAGCACAUACUUUGUUAUCUGUUGCAGAAGGGAUGUAUUUGGCAGAAUCUCAGGCUACAAGUCUGGUAGCUCAUUAGAGCCAGGAGAGAUUUUAGUUUAAUUAUAGCCUUUCAUUGUACUAAUGAAGGAUUUGAACUUAGUGAACAGAGUCAAGACUAGAAUCUAGGUCUUCAGUUCUGGUAUUUUGUGAUCAUUAUAGGCUCGUUUCCAACCUGAGGUCCCAAGAGUACUAUUUGUUUUGUAGCCUGGUUAGACAUAGUUGCAGUAAUUUAAAGUUACUGCGUUAUCUUUAAGGGUUUCCUCUCACCUUAAUCUUAAUAAUUGACUUACAACUAUAUUCUUUUUUCUUAUGAGUCCCUAAUUAUGCCUGCUUUUGCUAUAAUUGUACUUAAAUCCUUAAAGUUAGCUGAGGUCCAGAUAGUGUAAUUGCUUUUGGAGGCUUCACAUAUAAGGUUGCCUUCUUAUUACACAUAUUUUAGGAAUUAUUUUGUGGAAAGUUGUUAUAUAUGAAGAGUUUAUUAUUAAGCAUUCUUUUCAUCAGUUUAAAUGUUUAGUUCCUCCCAGGCGUUUUUCCUCCAAUUUUAUAUUUGAUUUUCAUUCAAUUAACAGUUGGUAUCAUUAAAAAAAAAAUUCUAAUACAAUUAGCUAGACCUUCUGAGAAAAAUGUUAGAAUUAAACUCAAGCAGUCUGUAUAGUAUAUUUCUUAACCGACUGGUUUUAGCUUAUCGAAAAGUAAUUGUUUUAUGUAUUUAAAUACAUUUACAAAGAAAAUGAGGCUUUUAAACAGACCUCACUAUUUAACAUUGUACACAGUAGUGGUGAGCAUGCUUAGUACCCAAAUUUUGGUUUCUAAAUGCCAUUCCCCACUAAAAGGAACCAGGAUUCCUUGGAGAAAUGGCUGAUUCCAUGUUUGGAGCAGGGGAAGUGGGUGGUGGGGGUGGCUAAAAUACCUUUUUUAUUAAGAAAAUAAAAUAAAAAGCAAGAUAUUAUUUGAAGACUAAUGGGGUAAUGUCAGAAGGGGACAGGCGCCAAGUUGAAGGUAUUCUCACUGGCCAAAUUUAGGACAACUUAAAAAGAAUAAUCACUCUUAUUGGUGAUAAUACUAAGAAGGAAAAGAAGUUCAUAAUGAUGAAUGUAGAGAAAAAAGAAAACUAUAAAAUUAUUUGAAGAAUGUCUUUUAAAUGUACACGGAAUGAUAGAUUUGGAAAAAUUACCAUUUUACAACCCUUAAUGUAAUUAAGUCUGGCAAAAAUCGAUGGUAAAACCCAUUAAGUGAAAAAAAUUUUAAGAAACUUCGUUUACAAGGUGUCAGAACAUCACAGAUAUCUAUUGCAAAAGAAUUGCCUUUACAAUGAGAUUUGGCUGUCAAACUGCAUUUCACUACUUCUGGAAUAAGCCAGCAUUAUGUGGCUCUUGAUGGGAUGCAGUAUGAAGCAUGUGUGACCAUCCUUGAUGUACUGCCAAAAAUGUUUACCUCAAAUUUAAUUAAAUCUUUUGUCUAGACUUAUCUUCCUGGUUAAAGAAAUACAGGAAUAGAGGAACAAGUUGAAUUACACAGUAUGGAAAUAGACAAGUCCAGAGUUGGUAUAGGACAACUGGUCUGGACUUUAUUUUAAAAUGGUUUUCUUAGAUUUAUUUUUUUAAACAUAACACGAGGAAGGUGUUAAAACUGGUGUAAUAGCUCAAAAGAAUUAAGUAUUCCAGAUUUCAGGAGGGAUGAAGAGGGAGAUAUUCAGAAACCUUCACCAGAUUCCUCCCAACUUGAUCAUAGCGGAUUAAUGAUGUGCUUUGUGGAUGUCGUUAGUCAAUGACACCAGCUUUGUGGAUGUGGUUAGUCAAUGACACCAGCUUGACGGAUCUUUCUUUCUGCACCAAACCCCAUUGAGUUAUCUCGUCCCCUUGGCUGACGAAGAGCCAUUAGGCGAGGAUCACUGGCAUCAUCCAGGGUGAUGUUCUUCAAGCGACUGACCAACCGAUCAGGUCGAGGAGCUGCAACAGCCUUGGGGCCCUCACAGACUUGCCAAACAUUCCAGGCACUGCACUUGCCAGUGUGCUGAUGAAGAAUCAAGAAUCACUGAGAACUCCACCUCUUCUCCUGCCUGGAGCUCAAGGCCAUCCUCAACUUCUUUCACAUGGCAAAAGAGCUUCUUGCUAUCCCCUACUUCAUAGUUAAUGAAGCCAAACUGAUCUUGCACACAUUCCACUGUGGCCCUACGCGGGGGUGUGAUGUUGUAAGCCAUAGUUGGUGCAUUUUGGCCCUGGUCUGGACUUUUCAAAAAGCAAAUGUAGUAAAACAAAAAGUGGUCUCUUCUAGAUUAAGGCAAGAGACAUAACCAAAUGGAAAGUGUGAUCCUUUAUUAGCUUCUGAUUCAUUAAAAAAAAAACCUAUAAAAGACAUUUGGGGGGAUAUUUGGGGAAAUAGGAAGAUGGAAUGGGUACUAGAUAAUGUGGUAUGUUUGAUUUUUCUAGAAGUGAUAAUUGAGUUACGUAGGAUAAUAAUGUUCUAAUUCUUAGGAGAUGCAUGCAGAAGUUUUCAAGUUUGAAAAGUCAUGAUGUUGGCAGCAUAUUUUCAAAUAUGUACAAAAUUAGUCAAUUUUUUUUUUGUGGUGGAGCUAUAUGUGGUGGAUGUUCAUUGGUCAUUUAAAACAUUUUUCUAUAUGUGUCAAUUUCUAAUAAAAAUUAAUGCAAAAAGUGA